UACGUAGGGCGCAAGCGUUGUCCGGAAUUAUUGGGCGUAAAGAGCUCGUAGGCGGCCUGUUGCGUCCGCUGUGAAAUCCCGGGGCUCAACCCCGGGCCUGCAGUGGAUACGGGCUGGCUAGAGUGCAGAAGGGGCAACUGGAAUUCUCGGUGUAGCGGUGAAAUGCGUAGAUAUCGAGAGGAACACCUGCGGCGAAGGCGGGUUGCUGGGCUGAUACUGACGCUGAGGCGCGAAAGCCAGGGGAGCGAACGGG
This 253-nucleotide ribosomal RNA is filed under the name uncultured bacterium. RNAcentral's name for it is "partial 16S ribosomal RNA". It matches the Rfam family "Bacterial small subunit ribosomal RNA", at positions 524 to 776 of the family's 1533-position model. The record is from RNAcentral.